UACAUAGGUGGCGAACGUUAUCCGGAAUUAUUGGGCGUAAAGGGCUCGUAGGCGGUUUGUCGCGUCGGGAGUGAAAUCCACUGGCUUAACUGGUGGCUUGCUUUCGAUACGGGCAGACUGGAGGUAUGCAGGGGAGAACGGAAUUCCUGGUGUAGCGGUGAAAUGCGCAGAUAUCAGGAGGAACACCGGUGGCGAAGGCGGUUCUCUGGGCAUGUCCUGACGCUGAGGAGCGAAAGUGUGGGGAGCGAACAGG
RNAcentral lists this ribosomal RNA (253 nucleotides) under uncultured bacterium. RNAcentral's name for it is "partial 16S ribosomal RNA". It matches the Rfam family "Bacterial small subunit ribosomal RNA", at positions 524 to 776 of the family's 1533-position model. The record is from RNAcentral.